RNAcentral lists this ribosomal RNA (164 nucleotides) under Ipomoea batatas (sweet potato). RNAcentral describes it as "5.8S ribosomal RNA". It matches the Rfam family "5.8S ribosomal RNA". From Rfam's summary of the family: 5.8S ribosomal RNA (5.8S rRNA) is a component of the large subunit of the eukaryotic ribosome. Lineage: Eukaryota; Viridiplantae; Streptophyta; Magnoliopsida; Solanales; Convolvulaceae. The record is from RNAcentral.
AAAUANGACUCUCGGCAACGGAUAUCUCGGCUCUCGCAUCGAUGAAGAACGUAGCGAAAUGCGAUACUUGGUGUGAAUUGCAGAAUCCCGUGAACCAUCGAGUCUUUGAACGCAAGUUGCGCCCGAAGCCGUCAGGCCGAGGGCACGUCUGCCUGGGCGUCACG